AACCUCCGCAAUGCGAGAAAUCGCGACGGGGGGACCCCAAGUGCUACUCUUAACGGGGUGGCUUUUCUUAAGUGUAAAAAGCUUUUGGAAUAAGAGCUGGGCAAGACCGGUGCCAGCCGCCGCGGUAACACCGGCAGCUCGAGUGGUAGCUGUUUUUAUUGGGCCUAAAGCGUUCGUAGCCGGUUUGAUAAGUCUUUGGUGAAAGCUUGUAGCUUAACUAUAAGAAUUGCUGGAGAUACUAUCAGACUUGAAGUCGGGAGAGGUUAGAGGUACUACCGGGGUAGGGGUGAAAUCCUAUAAUCCUGGGAGGACCACCUGUGGCGAAGGCGUCUAACUGGAACGAUCUUGACGGUGAGUAACGAAAGCCAGGGGCGCGGACCGGAUUAGAUACCCGGGUAGUCCUGGCCGUAAACGAUGUGGACUUGGUGUUGGAAUGGCUUUGAGUUGUUCCGGUGCCGAAGGGAAGCUGUUAAGUCCACCGCCUGGGAAGUACGGUCGCAAGACUGAAACUUAAAGGAAUU
RNAcentral lists this ribosomal RNA (521 nucleotides) under uncultured bacterium. Its description in RNAcentral is "bacterial SSU rRNA". It matches the Rfam family "Archaeal small subunit ribosomal RNA", at positions 345 to 866 of the family's 1478-position model. The record is from RNAcentral.